CUGCCAGUAGUCAUACGCUAGUCUCAAAGAUUAAGCCAUGCAUGUGUAAGUAUAAAUCUUGUACUUUGAAACUGCGAAUGGCUCAAUAUAUCAGUUGUAAUCUCUUCCGUAUUCCCUUACUACUUGGAUAACCGUAGUAAUUCUAGAGCUAAUACAUGCGUCAACACUCUGUAAGAGUGGUAUUUAUUAGAUAGAAA
RNAcentral lists this ribosomal RNA (197 nucleotides) under Asterionellopsis glacialis. RNAcentral describes it as "partial Eukaryotic small subunit ribosomal RNA". It matches the Rfam family "Eukaryotic small subunit ribosomal RNA", at positions 14 to 220 of the family's 1831-position model. Lineage: Eukaryota; Bacillariophyta; Plagiogrammaphyceae; Rhaphoneidales; Asterionellopsidaceae. The record is from RNAcentral.